CGAUCUCGUACUAAACGAAACUACUUUCACUUUCCAUAAUCAAAAUGAAAGAAAGUCAACCGGAAAGUGUUCAAACCAAGAUGGGCGUAGAUGAUAGUUUCAAGGACAGGACAAUGGACUAUAUGAGUUUGAAACCGAGGAGCUGCUGACCGAGAGGAGAGUUUUUACUUCGAGGGGGGCAGGGGCGCGUCUGGUGGUCUCGUAUAGUUGAUCAAGGCUGCAUUUAGGUAUGAAAAAGUGAUUUUAACUAUCAAUUGAGUAGUUUUUCGGGAUCCAAGC
RNAcentral lists this unclassified non-coding RNA (279 nucleotides) under Hevea brasiliensis (rubber tree). Lineage: Eukaryota; Viridiplantae; Streptophyta; Magnoliopsida; Malpighiales; Euphorbiaceae. The record is from RNAcentral.